RNAcentral lists this ribosomal RNA (473 nucleotides) under uncultured archaeon. RNAcentral describes it as "bacterial SSU rRNA". It matches the Rfam family "Archaeal small subunit ribosomal RNA", at positions 600 to 1108 of the family's 1478-position model. The record is from RNAcentral.
CCCGUGCCCCCGCCCUGCCCGCCGCGCGCGGCGGGCGGGGCGGGGGCACGGGGGGCCGACGGUGAGGGGUGAAAGCUAGGGGCACGAACCGGAUUAGAUACCCGGGUAGUCCUAGCCGUAAACGAUACUCGCUAGGUGUCGGCCACGGUGCGACCGUUGUCGGUGCCGUAGGGAAGCCGUGAAGCGAGCCACCUGGGAAGUACGGCCGCAAGGCUGAAACUUAAAGGAAUUGGCGGGGGAGCACCACAACGGGUGGAGCUUGCGGUUUAAUUGGAUUCAACGCCGGAAAUCUUACCGGGACCGACAGCAAUAUGAAGGCCAGGCUGAAGACUUUGCCGGAUUAGCUGAGAGGUGGUGCAUGGCCGUCGUCAGUUCGUACUGUGAAGCAUCCUGUUAAGUCAGGCAACGAGCGAGACCCACGCCCACAGUUGCCAGCGUACUCUCUGGAGUGACGGGUACACUGUGGGGACCGC